AAAUUGAAGAGUUUGAUCAUGGCUCAGAUUGAACGCUGGCGGCAGGCCUAACACAUGCAAGUCGAACGGUAACGGGAAGCAGCUUGCUGCUUCGCUGACGAGUGGCGGACGGGUGAGUAAUGUCUGGGAAACUGCCUGAUGGAGGGGGAUAACUACUGGAAACGGUGGCUAAUACCGCAUAACGUCGCAAGACCAAAGAGGGGGACCUUCGGGCCUCUUGCCAUCAGAUGUGCCCAGAUGGGAUUAGC
This 248-nucleotide ribosomal RNA is filed under the name Salmonella enterica. RNAcentral describes it as "partial 16S ribosomal RNA". It matches the Rfam family "Bacterial small subunit ribosomal RNA", at positions 1 to 245 of the family's 1533-position model. The record is from RNAcentral. Lineage: Bacteria; Pseudomonadati; Pseudomonadota; Gammaproteobacteria; Enterobacterales; Enterobacteriaceae.